This 230-nucleotide ribosomal RNA is filed under the name uncultured bacterium. RNAcentral describes it as "partial 16S ribosomal RNA". It matches the Rfam family "Bacterial small subunit ribosomal RNA", at positions 562 to 791 of the family's 1533-position model. The record is from RNAcentral.
AAAGCGUGCGCAGGCGGUUUUGUAAGACUGUCGUGAAAUCCCCGGGCUCAACCUGGGAAUGGCGAUGGUGACUGCAAGGCUAGAGUUUGGCAGAGGGGGGUAUAAUUCCACGUGUAGCAGUGAAAUGCGUAGAUAUGUGGAGGAACACCGAUGGCGAAGGCAGCCCCCUGGGUCAAAACUGACGCUCAUGCACGAAAGCGUGGGGAGCAAACAGGAUUAGAUACCCCAGU